UUAUAGAUUUUAGAAGCAGAAGAAAAUUUUCUAAAACAGCCAAACUUAGAUUCAGGUUCUAGCAGAGCCACAUGCUGAAUGACUGCAGGCAAGUUACCAAACUUCUCAGUCUCAAUUUCUUAAUAUGUAGCAGUGGGACAAAAUUUCUGGAACACAAAGUUUUGUAGGGGUGUUUUUCAAAAUGUGUUCAAUUGGCAAAUGUUUCUCAAAUAGAAUUUUCAUAGUUAAAUAACCCAUAGAGCGUCACUCUAAAUGUUCCUUUACUACAUGCUAUCUCAGUGUGCGUCACAAGUUUUUGCGCAUUGAGAAUUUUCAACAAAGUAGAAAAGUAUUCAGCACUUCUGAAGCCUAUUAGAUUGCAGAUUUUUUUCCCCACAGCAUCUUGACAGACCAGUGUUCCACAGAUCAUCCUCAAGGGAACACAGGUAUGAUCAUGUGAAUCUCAUCCCAUAAUAGUGUACAAGACAUCUUGCAUUGUGCUUGGCACAUAGUAGCCACUCAAUAAAUAAUUAUGUAUUCUUUAGAGUAAAUUUCUAAGCCUCAAUUUUCUUACUUGUAAAAUGAAGGUAAUAUUAUGGACUUUAUACAUUUACUAUGAUAAUUAAAUAAAAUCAUGGCAUAGAAAAUGAAA
This 631-nucleotide long non-coding RNA is filed under the name Homo sapiens (human). RNAcentral describes it as "non-protein coding lnc-CCT8-5:1". The record is from RNAcentral. Lineage: Eukaryota; Metazoa; Chordata; Mammalia; Primates; Hominidae.